This 97-nucleotide transfer RNA is filed under the name Promicromonospora soli. RNAcentral describes it as "tRNA-Ala". The record is from RNAcentral. Lineage: Bacteria; Bacillati; Actinomycetota; Actinomycetes; Micrococcales; Promicromonosporaceae.
GGGUGGUCUGGCCCGGCGUCACGAGGGUGGCGACGGUCGCGCCGUCGACCUGGACGUCGUAGUCGGCGGCCGAGUCGUUGAGCACGAUCCCCACCCC